GAUGAACGCUGGCGGCGUGCCUAAUACAUGCAAGUCGAGCGAACAGAUGAGGAGCUUGCUCCUCUGACGUUAACGGCGGACGGGUGAGUAAAACGUGGAUAACCUACCUAUAAGACUGGGAUAACUUCGGGAAACCGGAGCUAAUACCGGAUAAUAUAUUGAACCGCAUGGUUCAAUAGUGAAAGACGGUUUUGCUGUCACUUAUAGAUGGAUCCGCGCCGCAUUAGCUAUUUGGUAAGGUAACGGCUUACCAAGGCAACGAUGCGUAGCCGACCUGAGAGGGUGAUCGGGCACACUGGAACUGAGACACGGUCCAGACUCCGACGGGAGGCAGCAGUAGGGAAUCUUCCGCAAUGGGCGAAAGCCUGACGGAGCAACGCCGCGUGAGUGAUGAAGGUCUUCGGAUCGUAAAACUCUGUUAUUAGGGAAGAACAAAUGUGUAAGUAACUAUGCACGUCUUGACGGUACCUAAUCAGAAAGCCACGGCUAACUACGUG
Molecule: ribosomal RNA, 497 nt
Filed under: uncultured bacterium
Lineage: Bacteria
Description: partial 16S ribosomal RNA
Rfam family: Bacterial small subunit ribosomal RNA
Source: RNAcentral